Molecule: long non-coding RNA, 363 nt
Filed under: Pongo abelii (Sumatran orangutan)
Lineage: Eukaryota; Metazoa; Chordata; Mammalia; Primates; Hominidae
Description: lincRNA
Source: RNAcentral
CCCAGGUGUGGCAGGAGCUUUUACCUGCUCUUCGGCAGUAGCCGGCUGCCACUCAACCCCAUGCCUGGAUUGUCCUCAUCUAAUCCGUCAGUAUCAGACAGUGAACAUCUCUCCCCCAUGAUGCUGAGGGAGGGUGCUGGAGGGAAGGAUGUCGAACUACAGCCUCUGCUCUCAAGAAGCUCAGAUCUGGGCAGGGAACAUCACACACCAGGGCUGUCGGGGGGUGGAGAGCUGGGGGAGGGAUAGCAUUAGGGGAAAUACCUAAUGUAAAUGACAAGUUGAUAGGUGCAGCAAACCAACAUGGCACAUGUAUACCUGUGUAACAAACCUGCAUGUUGUGCACAUGUACCCUAGAACUUUAAU